This 460-nucleotide ribosomal RNA is filed under the name uncultured bacterium. Its description in RNAcentral is "partial 16S ribosomal RNA". It matches the Rfam family "Bacterial small subunit ribosomal RNA", at positions 338 to 795 of the family's 1533-position model. The record is from RNAcentral.
CCUACGGGGGGCAGCAGUGAGGAAUAUUGGUCAAUGGGCGUAAGCCUGAACCAUCCAAUUCUCGUUAUGGAUGAAGGUUCUAUGGAUCGUAAACCUCUUUUAUAAGGGAAUAAAGUGUGGGACGUGUCCUAUUUUGUAUGUACCUUAUGAAUAAGGAUCGGCUAACUCCGUGCCAGCAGCCGCGGUAAUACGGAGGAUCCGAGCGUUAUCCGGAUUUAUUGGGUUUAAAGGGUGCGUAGGCGGCCUUUUAAGUCAGCGGUGAAAGUCUGUGGCUCAACCAUAGAAUUGCCGUUGAAACUGGGGGGCUUGAGUAUGUGUGAGGCAGGCGGAAUGCGUGGUGUAGCGGUGAAAUGCUUAGAUAUCACGCAGAACCCCGAUUGCGAAGGCAGCCUGCCAAGCCAUGACUGACGCUGAUGCACGAAAGCGUGGGGAUCAAACAGGAUUAGAUACCCGAGUAGUC